GCAACACGGUGGCCGCAACCAGCGCAAAACCGUGCCUCCGAGAAACUUCCUAAUCUGGGGGCCACUGGUUCGAAUCCAGUCGGGUGCACCA
Molecule: transfer RNA, 91 nt
Filed under: Sphingopyxis italica
Lineage: Bacteria; Pseudomonadati; Pseudomonadota; Alphaproteobacteria; Sphingomonadales; Sphingopyxidaceae
Description: tRNA-Ser
Source: RNAcentral